This 824-nucleotide ribosomal RNA is filed under the name Escherichia coli. RNAcentral describes it as "partial 23S ribosomal RNA". It matches the Rfam family "Bacterial large subunit ribosomal RNA", at positions 1975 to 2798 of the family's 2925-position model. The record is from RNAcentral. Lineage: Bacteria; Pseudomonadati; Pseudomonadota; Gammaproteobacteria; Enterobacterales; Enterobacteriaceae.
GGUAAGUUCCGACCUGCACGAAUGGCGUAAUGAUGGCCAGGCUGUCUCCACCCGAGACUCAGUGAAAUUGAACUCGCUGUGAAGAUGCAGUGUACCCGCGGCAAGACGGAAAGACCCCGUGAACCUUUACUAUAGCUUGACACUGAACAUUGAGCCUUGAUGUGUAGGAUAGGUGGGAGGCUUGGAAGUGUGGACGCCAGUCUGCAUGGAGCCGACCUUGAAAUACCACCCUUUAAUGUUUGAUGUUCUAACGUUGACCCGUAAUCCGGGUUGCGGACAGUGUCUGGUGGGUAGUUUGACUGGGGCGGUCUCCUCCUAAAGAGUAACGGAGGAGCACGAAGGUUGGCUAAUCCUGGUCGGACAUCAGGAGGUUAGUGCAAUGGCAUAAGCCAGCUUGACUGCGAGCGUGACGGCGCGAGCAGGUGCGAAAGCAGGUCAUAGUGAUCCGGUGGUUCUGAAUGGAAGGGCCAUCGCUCAACGGAUAAAAGGUACUCCGGGGAUAACAGGCUGAUACCGCCCAAGAGUUCAUAUCGACGGCGGUGUUUGGCACCUCGAUGUCGGCUCAUCACAUCCUGGGGCUGAAGUAGGUCCCAAGGGUAUGGCUGUUCGCCAUUUAAAGUGGUACGCGAGCUGGGUUUAGAACGUCGUGAGACAGUUCGGUCCCUAUCUGCCGUGGGCGCUGGAGAACUGAGGGGGGCUGCUCCUAGUACGAGAGGACCGGAGUGGACGCAUCACUGGUGUUCGGGUUGUCAUGCCAAUGGCACUGCCCGGUAGCUAAAUGCGGAAGAGAUAAGUGCUGAAAGCAUCUAAGCACGAAACUUGCC